AAUAGAUACCCUGGUAGUCCACGCCGUAAACGAUGUGUGCUAGAAGUCGGGAUAACUCGGUUUCGAAGCUAACGCAUUAAGCACACCGCCUGGGGAGUACGGUCGCAAGGCUGGAACUCAAAGGAAUUGACGGGGACCCGCACAAGUAGUGGAGCAUGUGGUUUAAUUCGAUGCAACGCGAUGAACCUUACCAAGACUUGACAUACUCGGCAAAGCUAUAGAGAUAUAGUGGAGGUUAUCCGAUGUACAGGUGGUGCAUGGUUGUCGUCAGCUCGUGUCGUGAGAUGUUGGGUUAAGUCCCGCAACGAGCGCAACCCCUACCUUUAUUUGCUAACAUUAAGUUGAGGACUAUAGAGAGACUGCCUACGCAAGUAGGAGGAAGGUGGGGAUGACGUCAAAUCAUCAUCGCCCCUUAUGUCUUGGGCUACACACGUGCUACAAUGGCCGGUAACAAAGGGCUGCAAACUGGUGACAGUAAGCGAAUCCCAUAAAGCCGGUCUAAGUUCGGAUUGAAGUCUGCAACUCGACUU
RNAcentral lists this ribosomal RNA (530 nucleotides) under uncultured bacterium. RNAcentral's name for it is "bacterial SSU rRNA". It matches the Rfam family "Bacterial small subunit ribosomal RNA", at positions 777 to 1318 of the family's 1533-position model. The record is from RNAcentral.